GAUGAAGAACGCAGCGAAAUGCGAUACGUAAUGUGAAUUGCAGAAUUCAGUGAAUCAUCGAAUCUUUGAACGCAUAUUGCGCUCUCUGGUAUUCCGGAGAGCAUGCUUGUUUGAGUAUCAGUAAACACCUCAACUUCCAUAUCUUUUUUGAAAUGGGAGUUGGACUUGAGUGAUCCCAACGCUUUUCCUCACCGAAAAGUGGCGGGUUACUUGAAAUGCAGGUGCAGCUGGACUUUUCUCUGAGCUAUAAGCAUAUCUAUUUAGUCUGCCUAAAAAACAGAUUAUUACCUUUGCUGCAGCUAACAUAAAGGAGAUUAGUUCUUGUGCUGACUGAUGCAGGAUUCACAAAGACAGGCUUCGGCCGACUUUGUAAACUCGAUCUCAAAUCAAGUAAGACUACCCGCUGAACUUAAGCAUAUCAAUAAGCGGUGGA
RNAcentral lists this unclassified non-coding RNA (433 nucleotides) under soil metagenome. Its description in RNAcentral is "partial contains 5.8S ribosomal RNA, internal transcribed spacer 2, and large subunit ribosomal RNA". The stretch from base 1 to 120 matches the Rfam family "5.8S ribosomal RNA", at positions 35 to 154 of the family's 154-position model. The record is from RNAcentral.